AUACGUAGGUGGCAAGCGUUGUCCGGAUUUAUUGGGCGUAAAGCGAGCGCAGGCGGUUUCUUAAGUCUGAUGUGAAAGCCUUCGGCUUAACCGGGGAGGGUCAUUGGAAACUGGUGGACUUGAGUGCAGGAGAGGAGAGUGGAAUUCCACGUGUAGCGGUGAAAUGCGUAGAGAUGUGGAGGAACACCAGUGGCGAAGGCGGCUCUCUGGCCUGUAACUGACGCUGAGGCGCGAAAGCGUGGGGAGCAAACAGGAUUAGAUACCCUGGUAGUCCACGCCGUAAACGAUGAGUACUAGGUGUCGGGGGUUACCCCCCUCGGUGCCGCAGCUAACGCAUUAAGUACUCCGCCUGGCAAGUACGCUCGCAAGAGUGAA
Molecule: ribosomal RNA, 375 nt
Filed under: uncultured bacterium
Lineage: Bacteria
Description: bacterial SSU rRNA
Rfam family: Bacterial small subunit ribosomal RNA
Source: RNAcentral